UCUCACUUAUUUAUUUGCUUUCAUUGAAUUCAUAUCCUUGAUAGAUUGAGAAGAAUACACAUAUAAUAUCAAAGCUUUGUCUUUUUUUGAUUAAGAAUACAUUGCUCCUUUCUCUUGAUAAGACUUAAGCAUAUUAGAAAUUGUGGAUUACCUUCAUCUAAACUGAUAUUGUCUUUAGUAUUUUUUCUUUGUUUUUAAGUCUUCUCUUCUAUUUGUCUUUAGCAAUAUUAAACAUCUUCUUUUCUUUAAUUGUUAUCAUGAUAGAG
Molecule: long non-coding RNA, 266 nt
Filed under: Physcomitrium patens
Lineage: Eukaryota; Viridiplantae; Streptophyta; Bryopsida; Funariales; Funariaceae
Description: long non-coding RNA (PPAT_LNC001025)
Source: RNAcentral